AGGCAGCAGGUGGGGGAAUAGUUGCGCAAGUGGACGAAAGUCUGACGCAGCGACGCCGCGUGGAGGAUGAAGGUUUUCGGAUCGUAAACUCCUGUCAAGAGGGAAGAAACCUAUUAUGAAUAAUACUCAUAGUAAUUGACGGUACCUCUAGAGGAAGCACCGGCUAAUUCAGUGCCAGCAGCCGCGGUAAUACUGAAGGUGCAAGCGUUAAUCGGAAUCACUGGGCGUAAAGCGCUCGUAGGUGGCUUUGUAAGUCAGGUGUGAAAGCCCACGGCUCAACCGUGGAAUUGCACUUGAUACUGCAUCGCUAGAGUAUAGGAGAGGGAAGUGGAAUUUCUGGUGUAGGAGUGAAAUCCGUAGAGAUCAGAAGGAACACCCGUGGCGAAGGCGACUUCUUGGACUAUUACUGACACUGAGGAGCGAAAGCGUGGGGAGCAAACAGGAUUAGAUACCCUGGUAG
Molecule: ribosomal RNA, 460 nt
Filed under: uncultured bacterium
Lineage: Bacteria
Description: bacterial SSU rRNA
Rfam family: Bacterial small subunit ribosomal RNA
Source: RNAcentral